GCGACAGCUGGUUUCAUUUCAGCUGGUGGGUCAAGACUCCUGACACUCUGCAGAAUCCCAGAUCAUCUCCGGACAGUUCUCGGUAGCAUCCUUCCUGUCAUUGGCCUCAGACUUGGACUGGGGUCUCUGUGCAAGAUUGAUAACUUGUCCAGAAGUCAGCAAGACCCAUAGCUCCUGUUCAACCUGAAGUCUGAAGACUAGAUAAGGAAACUUUUUCUACCUAUUUUAUACUCUCUGGAAGGUCAGUAUUUUUAUGCAUUUGACCUCACGUACAGACCUUGUAGUGGCAAAGGCAGUGAACCCUGAGUAGAUGGUGAUCAAUUACUGCUUCCUGCCUCAAACAUCCAUGAGAGAGACAGAGGCAGAUGUGGACCAGGAGCGCACUGCUGUGUUCCCAGCAGAGACACACCUCAAGAUACAUGAGCCAGAGCCUUGUCUGUGCCUCUCCAGAAGAAGGCAUCAGAUUUCUAAUUCUUGCCUUCCAGAGAUGACAGCCCCCCAAACCAGCAAUGGGUGUGGUCUGAGAGAGACAGAUGAUGGAAUAGUCUUCAUGUAUCUAAAACAGAAGAUAAGAAAAGGCUCCCUACCAAGGUAUCAACAGUUUCUCAGUGAUGAGGAUAGAAGAACCUGGGAAUAUCAACAAAUUACCCAAACAGUCUUGCCUGUGGAGCUCACUGGUCCAGACGGGUUUCCUCCUCAGCUGUGA
Molecule: long non-coding RNA, 706 nt
Filed under: Bos mutus (wild yak)
Lineage: Eukaryota; Metazoa; Chordata; Mammalia; Artiodactyla; Bovidae
Description: lncRNA (ENSBMUG00000006012.1)
Source: RNAcentral